GACGAGGGGUCCAAGCGUUGUUCGGAAUCAUUGGGCGUAAAGCGGGUGUAGGCGGCUUUGUAAGUCAGGAGUGAAAUCCCCGAGCUUAACUUGGGAAGUGCUUUUGAUACUGCAGAGCUUGAAUGUGGGAGAGGGUAGUGGAAUUCCAGGUGUAGUGGUGAAAUACGUAGAUAUCUGGAGGAACACCGGUGGCGAAGGCGGCUACCUGGCCCAACAUUGACGCUGAGACCCGAAAGCAUGGGGAUCAAACAGGG
RNAcentral lists this ribosomal RNA (254 nucleotides) under uncultured bacterium. Its description in RNAcentral is "partial 16S ribosomal RNA". It matches the Rfam family "Bacterial small subunit ribosomal RNA", at positions 524 to 777 of the family's 1533-position model. The record is from RNAcentral.